Vidua macroura (Pin-tailed whydah) is the source of this 1062-nucleotide long non-coding RNA. RefSeq lists it as uncharacterized. The record is from RefSeq and is a predicted model, not a curated record. The transcript is spliced from 3 exons. Lineage: Eukaryota; Metazoa; Chordata; Aves; Passeriformes; Viduidae.
AGGUCCAGUUUACAUCAGCUCCUCACAGAGCUCAGGAAAAUCCAGACCAAACUUUACCUGUCAGCUUUGACAGAGAUGGAGGUGACGCAUUUCCAAAAGGAAGAAAAGGUGGUAAUGUUGAGAUAUGGCAUCGUUAUGUGGAGUUGACUUUUAUUCAAGCUCCAGAAAAUGCUGCCUUAAAUGCAGUGAUGUUGGAAAGGUCCAGGGACAACUUCCACCAUCCAAGGUUGCUCCAAGACCUAUCCAACCUGGCCUUGGACACUUUCCAGGAUGCUGAGAGCUGCAUCCAGAAGGUGGAGUAAUGUCCUGUACCAGCCAACCACCUCCUGGCAACCUCAGGGUCUCAGUUUUGGCAGAACAACCCAACUACGUUUUCAAGGUGAAGACCUCAGAGGACAAGCAGGGCUGUUGGCCCUUUGUGGUUGUUGAAUACAUCCCAAAACCCCACAACACCGCCCAAAAAAUCCUUCACAGCAGAACUUUUUGGCUAAGGACUUAGGAUGAUUCACAGCUGUAUUUGACCCAGCCUUGGCUCCUUGAUCUGACGCUGUCUUUCCAUGUGACCUUGGGGAAACCACUUAGUGUCUGAUAAUUAGAGACUCUUAAACUGAUUAUUAGAGAUUCUUAAACUCAUAAAAGUGUUAUGAGAUGGCCAAGGUGGGGUGGAGGUGGAAGAGUCUCCAGAAGUAUGUAAACCAGAUUGAUUUGAAAAUCAAUGUGAUGCUUUCAAAAAAUGAAAUGCCUUUGAUCCUCUGGCAGCCUCACCACAUCUCCUGGACCCCUGUCUGUAACAGCAGAAGCCAAGGAGUGAGCAGUAGACUUCAUUCCUCUUGGAAUUUUCAUUAAAUUCAUAAAACAGUCCCUGAACUGAAGGAGAAUGGCAUUGUCCCCUCAGUGACCCCUCAGCAGGAGGGAAGAAGGGGUUGCACAGGCCCAAGGCACGCUUGCAGAAGCACCUUGUCCCCCACCACGGGGACAAGCAGAGCCCACCCCUCAGGUUGGGCCAUCUGCUCUGCCAAAAUCAUAACUCACUGCCAAUAACCUUAAUUAAAAAUAUUAAUG